Molecule: ribosomal RNA, 460 nt
Filed under: uncultured bacterium
Lineage: Bacteria
Description: partial 16S ribosomal RNA
Rfam family: Bacterial small subunit ribosomal RNA
Source: RNAcentral
CCUACGGGUGGCAGCAGUGAGGAAUAUUGGUCAAUGGGCGUAAGCCUGAACCAGCCAAGUCGCGUGAGGGAUGAAGGUUCUAUGGAUCGUAAACCUCUUUUAUAAGGGAAUAAAGUGCGGGACGUGUCCCGUUUUGUAUGUUCAUUAUGAAUAAGGAUCGGCGAACUCCGGGCCAGCAGCAGCGGUAAUACGGAGGCUACGAGCGUUAGCCGGAUUUAUUGGGUUUAAAGGGUGCGUAGGCGGCCUGUUAAGUCUGCGGUGAAAUUCUGUGGCUCAACCAUAGAAUUGCCGUUGAAACUGGGAGGCUUGAGUAUGUUUGAGGCAGGCGGAAUGCGUGGUGUAGCGGUGAAAUGCUUAGAUAUCACGCAGAACCCCGAUUGCGAAGGCAGCCUGCCAAGCCAUGACUGACGCUGAUGCACGAAAGCGUGGGGAUCAAACAGGAUUAGAUACCCGGGUAGUC